CAGAAAUAUCUUGAAGCUCUUGAUAAGCAAGACAAGGCAAAGGCAGUUGAGAUUCUUGUGAGUGAUUUGAAAGUGUUCUCUACAUUCAAUGAGGACCUUUACAAAGAGAUCACUCAACUCUUGACGCUUACCAAUUUCAGAGAGAACGAGCAGCUUUCGAAGUAUGGUGACACCAAGACAGCGCGUAGCAUAAUGUUGAUAGAGCUG
Molecule: unclassified non-coding RNA, 207 nt
Filed under: Hevea brasiliensis (rubber tree)
Lineage: Eukaryota; Viridiplantae; Streptophyta; Magnoliopsida; Malpighiales; Euphorbiaceae
Source: RNAcentral